This 482-nucleotide ribosomal RNA is filed under the name uncultured bacterium. RNAcentral's name for it is "bacterial SSU rRNA". It matches the Rfam family "Bacterial small subunit ribosomal RNA", at positions 9 to 488 of the family's 1533-position model. The record is from RNAcentral.
GAGUUUGAUCCUGGCUCAGAUUGAACGCUGGCGGCAUGCCUUACACAUGCAAGUCGAACGGUAACAGGUCUUCGGAUGCUGACGAGUGGCGAACGGGUGAGUAAUACAUCGGAACGUGCCCGAUCGUGGGGGAUAACGAGGCGAAAGCUUUGCUAAUACCGCAUACGAUCUACGGAUGAAAGCGGGGGAUCUUCGGACCUCGCGCGGACGGAGCGGCCGAUGGCAGAUUAGGUAGUUGGUGGGAUAAAAGCUUACCAAGCCGACGAUCUGUAGCUGGUCUGAGAGGAUGAUCAGCCACACUGGGACUGAGACACGGCCCAGACUCCUACGGGAGGCAGCAGUGGGGAAUUUUGGACAAUGGGCGAAAGCCUGAUCCAGCCAUGCCGCGUGCAGGAUGAAGGCCUUCGGGUUGUAAACUGCUUUUGUACGGAACGAAAAGCCUCUUUCUAAUAAAGAGGGGUCAUGACGGUACCGUAAGAAUA